GACGAACGCUGGCGGCGUGCCUAAUACAUGCAAGUAGAACGCUGAAGGAGGAGCUUGCUUCUCUGGAUGAGUUGCGAACGGGUGAGUAACGCGUAGGUAACCUGCCUGGUAGCGGGGGAUAACUAUUGGAAACGAUAGCUAAUACCGCAUAAGAGUAGAUGUUGCAUGACAUUUGCUUAAAAGGUGCAAUUGCAUCACUACCAGAUGGACCUGCGUUGUAUUAGCUAGUUGGUGGGGUAACGGCUCACCAAGGCGACGAUACAUAGCCGACCUGAGAGGGUGAUCGGCCACACUGGGACUGAGACACGGCCCAGACUCCUACAGGAGGCAACGGUAGGGAAUCUUCGGCAAUGGACGGAAGUCUGACCGAGCAACGCCGCGUGAGUGAAGAAGGUUUUCGGAUCGUAAAGCUCUGUUGUAAGGGAAGAACGAGUGUGAGAAUGGAAAGUUCACACUGUGACGGUAUCUUACCAGAAAGGGACGGCUAACUACGUG
This 495-nucleotide ribosomal RNA is filed under the name uncultured bacterium. RNAcentral describes it as "partial 16S ribosomal RNA". It matches the Rfam family "Bacterial small subunit ribosomal RNA", at positions 28 to 507 of the family's 1533-position model. The record is from RNAcentral.